This 253-nucleotide ribosomal RNA is filed under the name uncultured bacterium. RNAcentral's name for it is "partial 16S ribosomal RNA". It matches the Rfam family "Bacterial small subunit ribosomal RNA", at positions 524 to 776 of the family's 1533-position model. The record is from RNAcentral.
UACAGGGGGGGCAAGCGUUGUUCGGAAUUACUGGGCGUAAAGGGCUCGUAGGCGGCCAACUAAGUCACACGUGAAAUCCCCAGGCUUAACCUGGGAACUGCGUGUGAUACUGGAUGGCUUGAAUCCGGGAGAGGGAUGCAGAAUUCCAGGUGUAGCGGUGAAAUGCGUAGAGAUCAGGAAGAACACCCGUGGCGAAGGCGGCACUCUGGGCCUGUACUGACGCUGAGACGCGAAAGCGCGGGGAGCGAACGGG